RNAcentral lists this ribosomal RNA (305 nucleotides) under uncultured Enterobacteriaceae bacterium. RNAcentral's name for it is "bacterial SSU rRNA". It matches the Rfam family "Bacterial small subunit ribosomal RNA", at positions 355 to 648 of the family's 1533-position model. The record is from RNAcentral. Lineage: Bacteria; Pseudomonadati; Pseudomonadota; Gammaproteobacteria; Enterobacterales; Enterobacteriaceae.
UGGGGAAUAUUGCACAAUGGGCGCAAGCCUGAUGCAGCCAUGCCGCGUGUAUGAAGAAGGCCUUCGGGUUGUAAAGUACUUUCAGCGAGGAGGAAGGCAUUAAGGUUAAUAACCUUGGUGAUUGACGUUACUCGCAGAAGAAGCACCGGCUAACUCCGUGCCAGCAGCCGCGGUAAUACGGAGGGUGCAAGCGUUAAUCGGAAUUACUGGGCGUAAAAGCGCACGCAGGCGGUCUGUCAAAGUCGGAUGUGAAAAUCCCCGGGCUCAACCUGGAAGCUGCAUUCGAAAACUGGCAGGCUAGAGUC